This 806-nucleotide ribosomal RNA is filed under the name uncultured Entrophospora. RNAcentral describes it as "SSU rRNA". It matches the Rfam family "Eukaryotic small subunit ribosomal RNA", at positions 314 to 1114 of the family's 1831-position model. The record is from RNAcentral. Lineage: Eukaryota; Fungi; Glomeromycota; Glomeromycetes; Entrophosporales; Entrophosporaceae.
AUCAACUUUCGAUGGUAGGAUAGAGGCCUACCAGGGUGGUAACGGGUAACGGGGUGUUAGGGCACGACACCGGAGAGGGAGCCUGAGAAACGGCUACCACAUCCAAGGAAGGCAGCAGGCGCGCAAAUUACCCAAUCCCGACACGGGGAGGUAGUGACAAUAAAUAACAAUACGGGGCUCUUUCGGGUCUCGUAAUUGGAAUGAGUACAAUUUAAAUCCCUUAACGAGGAACAAUUGGAGGGCAAGUCUGGUGCCAGCAGCCGCGGUAAUUCCAGCUCCAAUAGCGUAUAUUAAAGUUGUUGCAGUUAAAAAGCUCGUAGUUGAAUUUCGGGAUUGGCGCAUCGGUCGUGCCUUACGGGGUAUGAACUGGUGCAGUCAAUUUCUCACCUUCUGGAGAACCGCGAUGUCCUUAAUUGGGUGCCGCGGGGAACCAGGACCUUUACUUUGAAAAAAUUAGAGUGUUUAAAGCAGGCAUUUUUGCUUGAAUACAUUAGCAUGGAAUAAUAAAAUAGGACGGCAUGGUUCUAUUUUGUUGGUUUCUAGGACCAUCGUAAUGAUUAAUAGGGAUAGUUGGGGGCAUUAGUAUUCAAUUGUCAGAGGUGAAAUUCUUGGAUUUAUUGAAGACUAACUACUGCGAAAGCAUUUGCCAAGGAUGUUUUCAUUAAUCAAGAACGAAAGUUAGGGGAUCGAAGACGAUCAGAUACCGUCGUAGUCUUAACCAUAAACUAUGCCGACUAGGAAUCAGACGAUGUUAAUUUUUUAAUGACUCGUUUGGCACCUUACGGGAAACCAAAGUGUUUGGGUUC